Molecule: ribosomal RNA, 214 nt
Filed under: Salmonella enterica subsp. enterica serovar Singapore
Lineage: Bacteria; Pseudomonadati; Pseudomonadota; Gammaproteobacteria; Enterobacterales; Enterobacteriaceae
Description: partial 23S ribosomal RNA
Rfam family: Bacterial large subunit ribosomal RNA
Source: RNAcentral
GUAAUAGCUCACUGGUCGAGUCGGCCUGCGCGGAAGAUGUAACGGGGCUAAACCAUGCACCGAAGCUGCGGCAGCGACGCUUAUGCGUUGUUGGGUAGGGGAGCGUUCUGUAAGCCUGUGAAGGUGUGUCGUGAGGCAUGCUGGAGGUAUCAGAAGUGCGAAUGCUGACAUAAGUAACGAUAAAGCGGGUGAAAAGCCCGCUCGCCGGAAGACU